CCUACGGGCGGCAGCAGUGAGGAAUAUUGGUCAAUGGACGAGAGUCUGAACCAGCCAAGUAGCGUGAAGGAUGACUGCCCUAUGGGUUGUAAACUUCUUUUAUAUGGGAAUAAAACGUUCCACGUGUGGGAUUUUGUAUGUACCAUAUGAAUAAGGAUCGGCUAACUCAGUGCCAGCAGCCGCGGUAAUACGGAGGAUCCGAGCGUUAUCCGGAUUUAUUGGGUGUAAAGGGAGCGUAGGUGGAUUGUUAAGUCAGUUGUGAAAGUUUGCGGCUCAACCGUAAAAUUGCAGUUGAAACUGGCAGUCUUGAGUACAGUAGAGGUGGGCGGAAUUCGUGGUGUAGCGGUGAAAUGCUUAGAUAUCACGAAGAACUCCGAUUGCGAAGGCAGUUCACUGGACUGCAACUGACACUGAGGCUCGAAAGUGUGGGUAUCAAACAGGAUUAGAUACCCGAGUAGUC
Molecule: ribosomal RNA, 460 nt
Filed under: uncultured bacterium
Lineage: Bacteria
Description: partial 16S ribosomal RNA
Rfam family: Bacterial small subunit ribosomal RNA
Source: RNAcentral